RNAcentral lists this RNase P RNA (373 nucleotides) under Oscillospiraceae bacterium. Its description in RNAcentral is "RNase P RNA component class A". It matches the Rfam family "Bacterial RNase P class A". Rfam says of the family: Ribonuclease P (RNase P) is a ubiquitous endoribonuclease, found in archaea, bacteria and eukarya as well as chloroplasts and mitochondria. Lineage: Bacteria; Bacillati; Bacillota; Clostridia; Eubacteriales; Oscillospiraceae. The record is from RNAcentral.
UGAGCAGACUGUGCGGCCGCGGCAGCGCUUCAGCUGACGAGGAAAGUCCGGGCAUCACAGAGCAGGAUAGCUGCUAACAGCAGCCGGAGGCGACUCCAGGGCAAGUGCAACAGAAAUGAGACUGCCCCGCGGGCGAAAGCCGGCGGAGCGAUGGUGGAAAGGCGGGGUAAGAGCCCACCGGAGCGCAUGAGAAUGCGCUGCCGUGUAAACCCUAUCCGAUGCAACGCCGAUUGGUGUGUAUGACCGCAAACGCCUGCUCGGCGGGUCAUGCGCAAAGGCGGCUUGAGCGAUGCGGCGACGCACCGCCUAGAUAAAUGGCUGCACAAGUGCAUUUCGCACAGGACAAAACCCGGCUUACAGGUCUGGUCACGCG